CCUACGGGGGGCAGCAGUAGGGAAUAUUGCACAAUGGGGGAAACCCUGAAGCAGCAACGCCGCGUGGAGGAUGAAGGUUUUCGGAUUGUAAACUCCUUUUAUUAGGGAAGAAAAUGACGGUAUCUAACGAAUAAGCACCGGCUAACUCCGUGCCAGCAGCCGCGGUAAUACGGAGGGCGCAAGCGUGACUCGGAAUCACUGGGCGUAAAGAGAGCGUAGGCGGGAUAGCAAGUCUGGGGUGAAAUCCUAUGGCUUAACCACAGAACUGCAUUGGAAACUGUUAGUCUAGAGUGUGGGAGAGGUAAGUGGAAUUCUGGGUGGAGGGGUGAAAUGCGUAGAGAUCAAGAGGAAUACUCAUGGCGAAGGCGGCCUACUGGAACAUAACUGACGCUGAGGCGCGAAAGCGUGGGGAGCAAACAGGAUUAGAUACCCGUGUAGUC
Molecule: ribosomal RNA, 440 nt
Filed under: uncultured bacterium
Lineage: Bacteria
Description: partial 16S ribosomal RNA
Rfam family: Bacterial small subunit ribosomal RNA
Source: RNAcentral